Molecule: transfer RNA, 68 nt
Filed under: Rhodospirillaceae bacterium
Lineage: Bacteria; Pseudomonadati; Pseudomonadota; Alphaproteobacteria; Rhodospirillales; Rhodospirillaceae
Description: tRNA-Cys
Rfam family: tRNA
About the family: Transfer RNA (tRNA) molecules are approximately 80 nucleotides in length. Their secondary structure includes four short double-helical elements and three loops (D, anti-codon, and T loops). Further hydrogen bonds mediate the characteristic L-shaped molecular structure. tRNAs have two regions of fundamental functional importance: the anti-codon, which is responsible for specific mRNA codon recognition, and the 3' end, to which the tRNAs corresponding amino acid is attached (by aminoacyl-tRNA synthetases). tRNAs cope with the degeneracy of the genetic code in two manners: having more than one tRNA (with a specific anti-codon) for a particular amino acid; and 'wobble' base-pairing, i.e. permitting non-standard base-pairing at the 3rd anti-codon position.
Source: RNAcentral
GUGGCAGAGUGGUCAUGCAGCGGAUUGCAAAUCCGCGUACGUCGGUUCGAUUCCGGCCUCGGCCUCCA